RNAcentral lists this ribosomal RNA (253 nucleotides) under uncultured bacterium. RNAcentral's name for it is "partial 16S ribosomal RNA". It matches the Rfam family "Bacterial small subunit ribosomal RNA", at positions 524 to 776 of the family's 1533-position model. The record is from RNAcentral.
GACAGAGGGUGCAAACGUUGUUCGGAACUACUGGGCGUAAAGAGCGUGUAGGCGGCCGCACAGGUCCGUUGUGAAAACUGGAGGCUUAACCUCCAGACGUCGACGGAAACCGUGUGGCUAGAGUCCGGAAGAGGAGAGUGGAAUUCCUGGUGUAGCGGUGAAAUGCGCAGAUAUCAGGAAGAACACCAAUGGCGAAGGCAGCUCUCUGGGACGGUACUGACGCUGAGACGCGAAAGCGUGGGGAGCGAACAGG